CCUACGGGUGGCAGCAGUAGGGAAUAUUGCUCAAUGGGGGAAACCCUGAAGCAGCAACGCCGCGUGGAGGAUGAAGGUUUUCGGAUUGUAAACUCCUUUUGUUAGAGAAGAUAAUGACGGUAUCUAACGAAUAAGCACCGGCUAACUCCGUGCCAGCAGCCGCGGUAAUACGGAGGGUGCAAGCGUUACUCGGAAUCACUGGGCGUAAAGAGCGCGUAGGCGGGAUAGCAAGUCAGAUGUGAAAUCCUAGGGCUUAACCAUAGAACUGCAUUUGAAACUGUUAGUCUAGAGUAUGGGAGAGGUAUGUGGAAUUCUUGGUGUAGGGGUGAAAUCCGUAGAGAUCAAGAGGAAUACUCAUUGCGAAGGCGACCUGCUAGAACAUAACUGACGCUGAGGCGCGAAAGCGUGGGGAGCAAACAGGAUUAGAUACCCUUGUAGUC
RNAcentral lists this ribosomal RNA (440 nucleotides) under uncultured bacterium. Its description in RNAcentral is "partial 16S ribosomal RNA". It matches the Rfam family "Bacterial small subunit ribosomal RNA", at positions 338 to 795 of the family's 1533-position model. The record is from RNAcentral.